GAGCACGAGCUGAGUGAUUCUGCUAGUAUGAGGCCAUUUGCUCUCAGGUUUGCUUCUCGAAACUUUAAUGGCCUUAACCAGGUUGGCAAAUUCUUGAAACAUAUAACCCUCUUGUGGUAACUGAGAAGUUACUUCAACUACCUGAGGUUUCACAUUCCAUCCGAUAUGAAGAUCCACAAACUUAGCACCAGAUGUGAAAUUGAACGAAGCAGAGUCCUCUUCAAACGGGAUAAUGAAGUCAU
This 242-nucleotide unclassified non-coding RNA is filed under the name Hevea brasiliensis (rubber tree). Lineage: Eukaryota; Viridiplantae; Streptophyta; Magnoliopsida; Malpighiales; Euphorbiaceae. The record is from RNAcentral.